UGGGGAAUAUUGGACAAUGGGCGCAAGCCUGAUCCAGCAAUGCCGCGUGUGUGAAGAAGGCCUUCGGGUUGUAAAGCACUUUUAUCAGGAGCGAAACGCUGUCGGCUAAUACCCGGCGGAACUGACGGUACCUGAGGAAUAAGCACCGGCUAACUUCGUGCCAGCAGCCGCGGUAAUACGAAGGGUGCAAGCGUUAAUCGGAAUUACUGGGCGUAAAGCGUGCGUAGGCGGUUUCUUAAGUCUGCUGUGAAAUCCCCGGGCUCAACCUGGGAAUGGCAGUGGAUACUGGGAGGCUAGAGUGUGUCAGAGGGUGGUGGAAUUCCCGGUGUAGCGGUGAAAUGCGUAGAGAUCGGGAGGAACAUCAGUGGCGAAGGCGGCCACCUGGGACAACACUGACGCUGAGGCACGAAAGCGUGGGGAGCAAACAGGAUUAGAUACCCUGGUAGUCCACGCCCUAAACGAUGCGAACUGGAUGUUGGUCUCAACUCGGAGAUCAGUGUCGAAGCUAACGCGUUAAGUUCGCCGCCUGGGGAGUACGGUCGCAAGACUGGAAACUUAAAUGAAUUGAC
RNAcentral lists this ribosomal RNA (569 nucleotides) under uncultured bacterium. Its description in RNAcentral is "partial 16S ribosomal RNA". It matches the Rfam family "Bacterial small subunit ribosomal RNA", at positions 355 to 914 of the family's 1533-position model. The record is from RNAcentral.